GAUAAGCUGCGAUAAGCUAUGGGUAGGAGCAAAUAUCCACUAAUCCAUAGAUCUCCGAAUGAGGAAACUCAACUAGUAACAAUAUACUAGUUAUCCAUACAUGAGUAAAGUAGUGUAUGAGAAGGGAACGUGGGGAACUGAAACAUCUUAGUACCCACAGGAAAAGAAAGAGAAAUCGAUUCCUAGAGUAGUGGCGAGCGAAAUAGGAAGAGCCCAAACUGUAAGUAGUAAUACAUACAGGGUUCGGACUGCAUAAUCGAUUUAAUGAGUUUAGUAGAAGUGUUUUGGAAAAGCACACCAUAGAUGGUGAAAGUCCAGUAUGCGAAAAGCGAGUUAACGAGGCAGUAUCCAGAGUAGCACGAGGCACGUGGAAUCUCGUGUGAAUGUGUGGGGACCAUCCCAUAAGGCUAAAUACUACUUGAUGACCGAUAGUGAACGAGUACCGUGAGGGAAAGGUGAAAAGAACCCCGGGAGGGGAGUGAAAUAGAACCUGAAACCCUAUGUUUACAAGCAGACAAAGCACGUUAAGGUGCGAUGUCGUACUUUUUGUAGAACGGUCCGGCGAGUUAUUUUAUAUGGCAAGGUUAAGUACUAAAGGUACGGAGCCGAAGAGAAAUCGAGUCUGAAGAGGGCGAAUAAGUCAUAUGAAAUAGACCCGAAACCGAGUGACCUAUCCAUGUCCAGGCUGAAGCUUGAGUAAAAUCAAGUGGAGGGCCGAACUCAUAGACGUUAAAAAGUCUCGGGAUGAGGUGUGGAUAGCGGAGAAAUUCCAAUCGAACUCGGAGAUAGCUGGUUCUCCUCGAAAUAGUUUUAGGACUAGCCUUGUUUAGUAGUAUGUGGGGGUAGAGCACUGAAUGAGCUAGGGGCCAAACCAGGUUACUGAACUCUAUCAAACUCCGAAUACCAUGUACGUAAGAACAGGAGUCAGACUGCGGGAGCUAAGUUCCGUGGUCAAAAGGGAAAGAGCCCAGAUCGUCAAUUAAGGUCCCAAAGAUAUAGUUAAGUGGAAAACGAUGUGAUUUUGCGUAAACAACCAGGAUGUUGGCUUAGAAGCAGCCAUUCAUUCAAAGAGUGCGUAAUAGCUCACUGGUCGAGUGAAGUUGCGCGGAAAAUUACCGGGGCUAAACUAUACACCGAAAUUGCGGAUUUGUACGUAAGUACAAGUGGUAGAGGAGCAUUCUAUAGUAGGACGAAGCAUAAUCGAAAGGAUAUGUGGACGAGAUAGAAGAGAGAAUGCCGGAAUAAGUAGCGAAAGCAUGGUGAGAAUCCAUGCCAUCGAAAGUCUAAGGUUUCCUGGGGAAGGUUCGUCCGCCCAGGGUAAGUCGGGACCUAAGGAGAGGCCGAAAGGCGUAUCUGAUGGACAGCAGGUAGAAAUUCCUGCACCACCGAUAUACUUAAAAAAUGCAAGGGACACAGUAGUGGAAGGAAAGCGAGGAAGAGGAAAGACUCGUAUCGAAAGAUAUAGUGAAAAAAUAAGUAACGAAUUUCCAAGAAGCACACUGGCGAGAAAAGCUUGUAGGAAUUGUAUAAAGGUGCCCGUACCGCAAACCGACACAGGUAGAUGAGGAGAGGAUCCUAAGAUGAGCGAGAGAAGCAUUGUUAAGGAACUCGGCAAAUUGACCCCGUAACUUAGGGAGAAGGGGUGCCAAAGUAAAAUUUGGUCGCAGAGAAGAGGCCCAAGCAACUGUUUAACAAAAACACAGGUUUCUGCUAAAUCGAAAGAUGAAGUAUAGGAGCUGACGCCUGCCCAGUGCUGGAAGGUUAAGGGGAAGAGUUAGAUGUAAGUCGAAGCUUAGAACCAAAGCCCCAGUGAACGGCGGCCGUAACUAUAACGGUCCUAAGGUAGCGAAAUUCCUUGUCAGGUAAGUUCUGACCCGC
RNAcentral lists this ribosomal RNA (1878 nucleotides) under human gut metagenome. RNAcentral describes it as "bacterial LSU rRNA". It matches the Rfam family "Bacterial large subunit ribosomal RNA", at positions 60 to 1991 of the family's 2925-position model. The record is from RNAcentral.